RNAcentral lists this non-coding RNA (29 nucleotides) under Rattus norvegicus (Norway rat). Lineage: Eukaryota; Metazoa; Chordata; Mammalia; Rodentia; Muridae. The record is from RNAcentral.
UCCUGCAGAUGUAAACCAGGGAAGGGAGC